AUGCAGGAUGAGCAAACGAAAAAUGGAAACUAUGAACACUAUUAUCUCUCUGGUCAUCUGGAGCAUAUGGUGGGAAAGAUAGAAGGCUUUGAUAGUGUGCACAUGUAUUUAUCGGUCUCCGCGCCAUUUGGGACUUUAUACAAUAAAAAAACAAUGUGUGUGCACAUAUGCUCAAAACACCAUUUUUUGGCUAAAGGAUAUCUCAUUUAUUAUCAUACAUGCUUGCCCAGACAUAUAUUUGUUUUAAAUGAGACUCUAUACUAUCAAGUUAAAAUAUGUAUAUUCAUCUUAUUUUACACAACAACCCACCGUGUUUUCUAUUAG
Molecule: ribosomal RNA, 324 nt
Filed under: Triticum aestivum (bread wheat)
Lineage: Eukaryota; Viridiplantae; Streptophyta; Magnoliopsida; Poales; Poaceae
Description: partial small subunit ribosomal RNA
Source: RNAcentral